UAAUAAAUUGUUUGAUAAAUAUAACUGGUUCACACUAUCUUUGUUGCGUGUGGAAAUAGAACCAAAAUUAAUAGUUAUUCUUUCGGGACCACGCACGUAACUUGCACAAUGAUCAAAACAACAAAAAGGCGAGCUUGCGGGGAUGUGUAAUCCAUUUUAAAGGUGAAAAUGGGCCAUUGACUGAUUUUACCGAGACAUCUUUGAAAAAAGUUUUACAUUGUCACGAGCUUUGGUUACUAUACAAUGGUGAGCAGAGAGACAUCGCUGAAAAGAACAAAAAUUUGAUGAAAAAAAUUCAGUCCAUGAAAAGUCCUUUGGCUGAGUACCGUGGAGAGUUAAAGUACCAUAGAAAUUGCUAUGGAAGAUUUAUAGCUAAACAUAUCAUUUCAAAUUAACUUAGAAAGAUUGAUCCUUAAUCAUUAUUUAGCACCGUUCUUUUGAAUAUGAACCAGCAAAUUUAGCGAAUUUCACACAAAACAAUAAGGCGGAUAUAGAAAAUAAAUGUCGAAUUUUUGAUGGCUCUAGCUCUCUUGAUUGCAAGUUUUCGGAAUGUAAACAGGCAGAUUUAUAUUAAGUGAGUACAUAUCAGUACAUCUAUGUUGUUUUUACUUAGUCAUGAAUUUCUGCAUCUCAACCUGAACAAUAAUCCACCAUAGAAUACGGCCUAUUUUACAACUUGCUUUAUUAAUUUUUUCGAUGUAUCUUGUGUUUUUAGUGCUUUCACUUCUACUGAGAGCAAAAAAUGAAGCGUAACUCGAUCAUUAAUAACAAAUGAAAGCGUAGCUAUUUCUCGAUCGUUGUAAUGAAGUCGAUAAAAAUUCAAUGACCCCGACGAGAAUUGAACUCGCAACCUUCUGAUCUGGAGUCAGACGCGCUACCAUUGCGCCACGGAGUCAUCUGGUUAUUACAAACGUAAAAAACCUAAAAAAACCACAACAGUAUAAUUUUACUUUGCUGUCAUUUUAUCCAACUUUUUUCUUUCUUCGUAAAAAUAGCAAUAAAAUUCCAAGUUAAAGACGGCGGAGCAUUUUUUGACUUGUUGGUGGGCCUUUGAACGCGAAGCUAAACCCAGAGGAUCUGGGACAAAUUUUAAUAAUUGAAAAUGGCUUCAACAUUAGUUGGGAAGGGGUGUCUCAACGCUCCAACUUCGCGGUCCUUGACCUGACUCAUGACAUUAUGAAGUGGAUUGACGAAUGCUAUACCUUGCAUUUAAUUUAUUUAUAUAGCUCUAUUGAAAACGAAAAAUAUCUCAAAUAUAUAGGUCUUUAAAACUCUCAUAUUUCUCUUUGCAGCUGAUCAAAGAAAAUCCUAGUGAAAUUUGUUUUAAUUGUUACGUUUGUGUAGGUCAGAAAAAAGGUGACAGAAAUUAUUUGUAAGGAACACAAGUGGUCCUUGAAACCAAGAAAAGGAUUGAUUAGAAUUUUUGUCCACCAAUACUCCAAAUGUGAUGAUGAAAAAACCUCAAUGGCAAUAAUCAAAUGGGAAAAUUAAGAAAAUUUGAAAUGUUUCGUAAAGUACAAAAACAACGUGCAGAUUAAUCUUUGUCGACCUAUUUCAACACAAGAGGACAAGGAUUACCUGUGUCUCAGUAGCUACAAAUUCCCUCGUGAAGCUGUGAGACAGUCAGAACAAAGUCUUGCGAUUAGAUAACAAACACUUCAACAAUUCCUCGUUCAAAAUGACACGUGGACACUUCAUGUCGCUCUAAAUAGAAUCACAAGACUUGGCGUCGACUUAAAUCCUCGAAUAACUUGUCGAAAGAUAUGGACAAAAAUUGCAUCGGCUUCCUCGAGUCAACGAAGAGUUUUGCGAAGGAGUACCAGAGGGACUGGCCCGAUGUAAAAAGUGGCAGGGGAAAAAGUAAGCCUUAUUUGAUGAAAGGCGGGAAAAAGGACUUCCCCUAAACUCUUUUAAUUAGCCAACCAAUCAAAAUACAGCUUGCCCAGAGCUUAUAUAACAGUGGUCAACUAGAGGAAUACGGUCAAAUGAAAACAAUCUCUUCAUGGUGGUUGAAUAUCGAAAACCGGUCCAAGUAAUCAGCCAUCAAUUCGUCAUAUCUUUGCAACAGAAAAGGAAAGAGGAAAGUGAUUAAUCAAACGUAUAAGGAAUGUCGUUCUUUCGAUACACGAUUCUGUUGGAGAAUACUUCGUCGGUGGGAGCGAAAUUGAGAGAAAUUGGUGAUGCUUUGGAAAUGGAACAUAACGAACAAAACACACAACGAAGGCAAACGAGAAAUCAAGGAAUCGCAGUCGUCUGUCUUGGAUUGAUUCUCUUGAGUGCGAUGCUUUGGAAACAGCGCAAGUGAUUGCCAUACGUGACUUAUGGAAAAAUAAGCAUGAACGCGAGAAAAAUAUUGACAAAACAAGAUGUAUGUCAUCCGACGAACAAAUAAAUGUAACGUAUCAAGGGUGUUAUAAUUUUAUGAUGAAUAAUAAUAUACUCAAUAGUUCAAUGUCCAUGGUGCGAAGUGCAGUUGAUUUUGGUGGAAUGAAUCACGUCAACACUUCGUUAAGAUGAUUUCAAAUGGGAUAAGAAAUAUUUACAGCAAAGACUUUAUAUUUAAUCUAUACGGUUAGUGAGAUUUGCACAAGUUAAGUCACGCUUUCGUAAGAGAGGUGUUGUAAUAAAAUCAAAUUGGAACUCUUAUAAACGUGUGAUAAGACACGAACAGUGGUUUACUAUAAACAUGAAUGUCCCGAAGCAAUGGCAAUUUUGCUUCUAUGGUAAAACGAGAACGGUUUGGAGAAGAAAUGCGCCAUAUUUUAUGUUGCGUUGUAUAUAGGAGCGCAGAGGUACUGUUUUUAUGCAUGAAACUUGUGCUGCAUUAAAAUUGAAACACGAUUGUAAAUAGAUGGAUGGUCUGAUAUUUAUAAAUAUAUAUAUGUAUAGUUGUAAAUGGAAAUCAAAAUAUCUUAUAAGCGGAAUAAAUUAAUGCAAUCAUUCAAGGCUAUAGCAAUAUCUUUACUAAGAUGCGAAGAUGUAUCGCACUUAUAAAAUGUGUACAAUUUAACGUUGUUUUGAAAUGUGAAGACGGAUAUUGGAAUAUCAGUGUGUUCAGUUGACUUUAUUAAAGGGGUUAUCAAUGGCAGGUGUUAAUGCACAAAGCACUAAUUUGCAUAUACCUAUUGUCCAUUGUUGCUACAUGACCAUAGGGUGCAGUUGAAUAUUGUCAAAUCAUCAAAUUCGUUCGUGAUAAACGAAUUUACCGGCUUCAUAACCACUAGCAAGUAGCGACAUGGCUCGCCUCCUGACUGCCAAGUAAAACACACCGUUACUAGGUACCCUCUCGCUUUGCAUACAAUCUACAAAAAAAAUGAAAGAAAGCACAAAGGUUGCUUUGUGGGAAAAAAACAAUUUGGUAAUAACACAACAUCGUCAUGGUAAUUGUAUCUUAUUGUAUCGUAAAUUUAGCCAUGACUUUCAAAUGAUAAUUACUGAUGAUCAUUUGAGAAAGGUUCAUGUUUUCAAAUUAGCGUGUCCUUGCCAAGAAUCUGAGACCUGCUUGAGCUGCAAACGUGGCAGGAAAUCGCUACGACGAUUGAAAUUACUGAAGCAUUAGAAAAUACGUAUUUUUUUAACAUGAUAAUUUGGCGGUCCAAUACAAAGGAAUGUUUUGUCAAUGACACAGUUGGCAACAGCCGAUGAUGGCAAGCGACAUUCUUAUGUAAAUCCCAAGUAGCAAGCUAAACAUAGUGUUUUACGAAUGUAUUUGUUUUGAAGGCUCGUGACAAUGUACCUUGCAAGAUAUCUGACUUUCUCUCUUCAGGCAUUCUGCUUCAAUUCGUGUAAAAUGUGAGCCGCCAUUUUUCUUCUUCUGCGUUUUCUUGAGCAUUUCUAAAAGGGAAAAUUUUUUACGUAGAACAAAAACCCCUCAUCCUCGUAAUUAAAAAUGAAAAUUGCACAUGACGGAUUUUUUUGUCUGCUUGUUCUUUUAUGCUGAGUUCUACUGCGGUGAACGCGUUGGAAACCUUCAACAUCCGUACGCACGCUGCGUGUUACACACACGCAUAAAGUUGCAAACGAGCCAAGAUGUGCACAUUAAACAAGGAACUAUAACGUCUAUAAUUAUACUUAUCGAGCGACGUAGGAAGUUAACUAUAACACAGGGAGCAAAAUAACCGCCAGGAAAUUAUAACAGGACAAGUAAAUUAAGAACGCCAGCUUUUCAAUGAAGAGCCACCCACCGGCUGGCUUCGUUAAGAACAUUAAAAAAUUUCGUCGCCAAAAUGGAACGUUCCCAAACGAAUUCAGAAUAGACAUUGUAAACAAAGCCUCCAAUUGGACUCUGGAAUUUCAAAUCUUUUUAUACAUUCAAAAUUAACGUGAGAACUUGGCAGCAAACAUUCGAAGGUGGCAACUGGCAAGGAAUUUUGGAAUAUUAGAAUAAAGUUCAGUUAAUAAACAGAAGAUAAUGGUCUUAGAAACACGAUUGCCAUGUUUGUGGACAUGGGGGAAGCUUCGUUCCAAAACCAGAGCUACGGUUCUAACUUCCUACCUUAAGUCUCCGACACAAAUGUCGUUGCUAGAAAGCGUAAAAAGUAAAGAGCAGAGUGCGACAGACAUAAGGAAUGAAAUAACAACCGAAGUCUAGAAUUAUUGGAUGGCCAAAAUUAAAUGAACGCACAAAAAUUGCGUAGUUGUUCCGAAAAACGUAUAAUAUACAUUUUCAGACGUUUCAGCCGCAUA
Xenia sp. Carnegie-2017 is the source of this 4686-nucleotide long non-coding RNA. RefSeq lists it as uncharacterized. The record is from RefSeq and is a predicted model, not a curated record. The transcript is spliced from 5 exons. Lineage: Eukaryota; Metazoa; Cnidaria; Anthozoa; Malacalcyonacea; Xeniidae.